This 1405-nucleotide ribosomal RNA is filed under the name metagenome. RNAcentral describes it as "bacterial SSU rRNA". It matches the Rfam family "Archaeal small subunit ribosomal RNA". The record is from RNAcentral.
UUCUGCUAGAGGUUGCGGUUAUUUGGAUUCCACUUAACCAUGCAAGUCACCUGGAUUUAUGUCCGGGGGCGAACCGCCCAGUAACAUGUAGUUAAUCUACCCUAAGAUUGAUGAUAACUUCGGGAAACUGAAGCUAACGAUCAAUAGACGUAAGAGGUUGGAAUACACUUUCGUUGAAACGUAAGGUCUUAGGAUGAGGCUGCACCCGAUUAGGCAUGUUGUUGAGGUAACUACUCAACAAACCGACUAUCGGUAGGGGCUCUUAACGGAGAGGCCCCGGGAAGGACUCUGAGACACUAGUCCUAGCUCUAUGGAGUGCAGCAGGUAGGAAUUUUUUCCAAUGCCCGAAAGGGUGAGAAAGGGAUCCAAAGUGUUCCUCUUAGAGGAACUUUUGCUUACUGUAAAAAGGUAGGAGAAUAAGGACUGGGCAAGACUGGUGCCAGCCGCCGCGGUAAUCCCAGCAGUCCAAAUCGCAGCCGCAUUUAUUAGGUCUAAAACAUUCGUAGCUUGUGAUGAAAGUUUUCUGUGAAAUCGUUGCGCUUAACGUAACGGCGUGCAGGAGAUACUACAUUACUAGAGAUCGGGAGACGUAACGAGUACAAUCGAGGUAGUGGUAAAAUACUUUAAUCUCCAUUGGACUAACAAUGGCGAAGGCACGUUACGAGAACGAUUCUGACGGUGAGGAAUGAAGGCUGGGGGCGCAAAAUGGAUUAGAUACCCAUGUAGUCCCAGCAGUAAACCCUGCUUACUAAACAUUGUGUUCUCUUAGAGAGGAUGCAGUGCUGAAGCGAAGGCGUAGAGUAAGCUACCUGGGGAGUAUAGACGCAAGUCCGAAACUUAAAGAAAUUGGCGGGGGGACACACAAGGAGUGACGCGUGCGGUUCAAUCAGAUUCGACACCGUGAACCUCACCAGGAGCGACAGCAGGAUGAAGGUCAGUCUGAAGGGCUUACCUGACACGCUGAGAGGAGAUGCAUGGCCAACGUAAGCUUGUGCCGUGAGGUGCCCUGUUAAAUCAGGUAACAAGCGAGACCUGUGUGUAUAAUUGCUACUCGGAGAGAGAGCACAUUAUACAGACUGCCAACGUAAGUGGGAGGAAGGUGCAGUCAACGUUAGGUGGUAUGCCCCGAAUCCCCUGGGCUACACGCGCGCGGCAAUGCUACAUGCAAUGAGAUGCAACUCCGAAAGGAGAAGCAAAUCCCUCAAAAUGUAGCUUAGUUCAGAUUGAAGUCUGCAACUCGACUUCAUGACGCUGGAAUUCCUAGUAAUCGGGUGUUAGCAGCGUCCGGUGAAUAAGUCCCUGUUCCUUGCACACACUGCCCAUCAAGCCAACCGAAUUAUGUUUGAAUGAAGUCCGAAAGGAAAGAAUUCAGAUAUGGUAAGGUAGGUUAAGUUGGCACAAGGUA